Molecule: long non-coding RNA, 2176 nt
Organism: Fundulus heteroclitus (mummichog)
Lineage: Eukaryota; Metazoa; Chordata; Actinopteri; Cyprinodontiformes; Fundulidae
Exons: 2
Source: RefSeq, a predicted model, not a curated record
GGGUUUUCUCCAGGCGCUCUGGUUCCCCCAGUUGUAUUUUGUCUUUUUCCAGUCUGCCUCCUUGCUGUCUACAACGUAGACAAGGGAAAGGGAAAAGAGAACGUUUUCAAGUAUUGUUGAUGCAACUUUGGAGACUCUUAAAGUCCCACAGGACAGGCCCCUGAACUUUAAAAUAAUUCAAGAGGUUUGUAGUAUUAUGGUCAAUUAUUUUGAAGAAAAGUACCGGUUAUAUAUGCAGGUUAGGUUUGCAAAUGGAAGAGUAGAGUUAAUUGAGGAGUUUGCUUUCAAACUGAGGCGGACAAUGAGGAAAGUUGUCCGUGUCUUCUAUUUGCGGUAAUAGUCUCUUUGGAUUCAUGAAUUAUUGAUGUGAUGUUUGUGUUUGUGACUAGCUGUAUAACUGGCAGCUUAAACAGAUUUUUUUUUUUUAAAUUGCUAAUAAGUAUUCAUUCAUUCAAAAAAAAGGGAAGAAAACAGAAGAACGUAUGUUUUCUGUGGGGUUUUUCUCCAGGCGCUCUGGUUCCCCCAUUUUAAUUUUAGCAGUUUGAUGGUAAAAUGUUGUACCCAGAGGAACCCAGAGUGCAGGCUGUGGGGUUCGAACCAGGUAUUUGCAACCUUCUCAGAGCGCAAGCGCACUGCUCUAACCAUUAGGCCACCACUCCCCCAGUUUAAGUACUAAGACAGAGAUCUGUGGUUUUAUUUAAGCCAUAAUUUACUAUCUUCUUAUAAAAUUGAGAACAGCAUGGGACACAUGUCCAGGAGAGGGUCUGGUCUAUCCUGCCCCAAUUUUGUUUUAACUAGACAAACAAAUCACUCCCUUAUAUACCACUGUUAUCUAUGCGAGAUAUCCCACUACAGUUUCUCACGGGAAGGUCCUUGGAAACCGCAGGAUGGCUAUAAUGAGCACUUUUGCAACUCUUAGGAAAAAAAUGUUAGCUCCGAAACUAGACAAAGCUAUACCUUCAACCUAGGGGAGAGCUCUGUCCUUAUGUGUAUCAGACACCUCCUACCAACUACUGAAACUGUCUCCAGGUCCAAGAAAGAUGAAAAACAGUAGGCUCAGAAAUAAACUAAGCUCUGCAGCUGUAGCACGCAAGUGAAUACGUUUGCCAAGUCAUACCAAAUAAUAAAGAGAAGCUUCUUUCAAAAUUUUAUUUAAAACCCUUUAAAAUGUUUAUUAAAUAAAUCGGACACCUGAUGCAGACAGAAAAAAAAAAACACUGCUGGGGUCUACAGAAGCCUAGUGAUACUGAGUGGACACAGAUGGAGCUAGCAGACAGGUUGACAGAGGCUGAAUUCAGUUCUGUAGGAUAAGCAUGGGUCAUAUACAGGCAUAUAGAGACAGACAGACAGACAGACAGAUCCAAUGGGCUUGGCAAGGUUUAUCGUUGUGAGAACAGUCCUUGUCGUGUCCAGAAAAACAGAAGGCAGAUUUCCAACAGGGGAUGGACAAGGUUGGAAAAUCCAUGGUCAUGAGCAGAGACCAGGCAGGGAAAGCAGCUGGAUAUCUACUAAAACUAGGCUUUGAAUAAUCUGGCCUCAUCUGCUGUCUAAGUCGAGCUCAUAAAAACCUUGAAACAUGUGAAAGAGACGGUGAUCUUGCAGUGGUGCGGUGAGGAAGCUGCAGAGGUGCCAUGAAUCAAAGUGACUAGACAGAACAGGAAUGGUGAGACAUGACUCAUCAUGCAGUGGAUGUAUUCUGAUGUCAGAUGUUGAUGUUUCACGUCAGAUAUUUGACAUUCCAGUACAGCAAGACACCGUCACACUGUGUACAGCAUCAGUAUCCUGAAAAAAAAAAAAAAAAAAAAAAACAUUUUGAUUGCUAUAAAUCAUGACUGAAUAUUUUCUGCUAAAAAGUCUUAAGAAUUAAAGCAAACCUUCCAUAAAAUAUUCUAAAGAUAACACAAAUCUAAGCUUCAAGCCCUGGAUUGUUCAAACCAAACUCAAUGUCGUUGCGUUAACAAUAAUUUGCAGGUGGUCUGUCGUGGUCACAAAAUGUAUUUCUAUAAAUACUAUAUAUAAAAAUUAAUGCAACAUUGAUGUAACUGGAAAAUCUAGAAAAACUGUUAAGAUUAUAAAUAUUUGUAUUCUUAGGCUUGCUACCUAAACAACUAAAACUGGAUUAACCUGACAGGAAAAAAAACUUUAAACCAGCCACAACACAAUUCUUAACAUGUUC